CAGCAGUGAGGUAUAUUGGUCAAUGGCCGCAGGGCUGAACCAGCCAAGUCGCGUGAGGGAUGACGGUCCUAUGGAUUGUAAACCUCUUUUGUCAGGGAGCAAAGGGCGCCACGUGUGGCGCUUUGCGAGUACCUGAAGAAAAAGCAUCGGCUAACUCCGUGCCAGCAGCCGCGGUAAUACGGAGGAUGCGAGCGUUAUCCGGAUUUAUUGGGUUUAAAGGGUGCGCAGGCGGAAUGUCAAGUCAGCGGUAAAAUUUCGGGGCUCAACCCCGUCGUGCCGUUGAAACUGGCGUUCUUGAGUGAGCGAGAAGUAUGCGGAAUGCGUGGUGUAGCGGUGAAAUGCAUAGAUAUCACGCAGAACUCCGAUUGCGAAGGCAGCAUACCGGCGCUCAACUGACGCUCAUGCACGAAAGCGUGGGUAUCGAAGAGGAUUAGAUACCCUGGUAGUCCACGCAGUAAACGAUGAAUACUAACUGUCCGGGCAGAAUGAUGCCUGG
RNAcentral lists this ribosomal RNA (496 nucleotides) under uncultured bacterium. RNAcentral describes it as "bacterial SSU rRNA". It matches the Rfam family "Bacterial small subunit ribosomal RNA", at positions 349 to 842 of the family's 1533-position model. The record is from RNAcentral.